Molecule: ribosomal RNA, 469 nt
Filed under: uncultured bacterium
Lineage: Bacteria
Description: partial 16S ribosomal RNA
Rfam family: Bacterial small subunit ribosomal RNA
Source: RNAcentral
ACGAACGCUGGCGGCGUGCUUAACACAUGCAAGUCGAACGCUGAAGCACCAGCUUGCUGGUGUGGAUGAGUGGCGAACGGGUGAGUAAUACGUGAGUAACCUGCCCUUGACUCUGGGAUAAGCCCGGGAAACUGGGUCUAAUACUGGAUGCUACAUGUCACCGCAUGGUGGUGUGUGGAAAGGGUUUACUGGUCUUGGAUGGGCUCACGGCCUAUCAGCUUGUUGGUGAGGUAAUGGCUCACCAAGGCGACGACGGGUAGCCGGCCUGAGAGGGUGACCGGCCACACUGGGACUGAGACACGGCCCAGACUCCUACGGGAGGCAGCAGUGGGGAAUAUUGCACAAUGGGCGAAAGCCUGAUGCAGCGGCGCCGCGUGAGGGAUGACGGCCUUCGGGUUGUAAACCUCUUUCAGCAGGGAAGAAGCCACAAGUGACGGUACCUGCAGAAGAAGCGCCGGCUAACUACGUG